UACGGGGGGGGCAAGCGUUGUUCGGAAUUACUGGGCGUAAAGGGCGCGUAGGCGGGCGGACAAGUCUCUCGUGAAAUCCCACGGCUCAACCGUGGAACUGCGGGAGAUACUGUCUGUCUUGAGUCCGGGAGAGGAGGGUGGAAUUCCCAGUGUAGCGGUGAAAUGCGUAGAUAUUGGGAGGAACACCGGUGGCGAAGGCGGCUCUCUGGACCGGUACUGACGCUGAGGCGCGAAAGCUAGGGGAGCAAACGGGAUUAGAUACCCCGGUAGUCCUAGCCGUAAACGAUGAGCACUUGGUGUAGCGGGUAUCGACCCCCGCUGUGCCGAAGCUAACGCAUUAAGUGCUCCGCCUGGGGAGUACGGUCGCAAGGCUGAA
This 376-nucleotide ribosomal RNA is filed under the name uncultured bacterium. RNAcentral describes it as "bacterial SSU rRNA". It matches the Rfam family "Bacterial small subunit ribosomal RNA", at positions 524 to 898 of the family's 1533-position model. The record is from RNAcentral.